CCGGGCCCGGGCGGCCGGGUGGACGCCCACCGUCGCCGAGGUGGUCACGGUGAUCGUCGAGCCGUUCGACCGGCUGGCCCGGG
Molecule: transfer RNA, 83 nt
Filed under: Embleya hyalina
Lineage: Bacteria; Bacillati; Actinomycetota; Actinomycetes; Kitasatosporales; Streptomycetaceae
Description: tRNA-Arg
Source: RNAcentral